AGAGUUUGAUCAUGGCUCAGAUUGAACGCUGGCGGCAUGCUUUACACAUGCAAGUCGAACGGUAACGCGGGGGCAACCCUGGCGACGAGUGGCGAACGGGUGAGUAAUACAUCGGAACGUGCCCAGUAGUGGGGGAUAGCUCGGCGAAAGCCGGAUUAAUACCGCAUACGACCUACGGGUGAAAGCGGGGAUCGCAAGACCUCGCGCUAUUGGAGCGGCCGAUGGCAGAUUAGCUUGUUGGUGGGGUAAGAGCCUACCAAGGCGACGAUCUGUAGCUGGUCUGAGAGGACGACCAGCCACACUGGGACUGAGACACGGCCCAGACUCCUACGGGAGGCAGCAGUGGGGAAUUUUGGACAAUGGGCGAAAGCCUGAUCCAGCAAUGCCGCGUGUGUGAUGAAGGCCUUCGGGUUGUAAAGCACUUUUAGUGGGAACGAAACGGUCCGGGCUAAUACCCUGGACUAAUGACGGUACCCGCAGAAUAAGCACCGGCUAACUACGUGCCAGCAGCCGCGGUAAUACGUAGGGUGCGAGCGUUAAUCGGAAUUACUGGGCGUAAAGCGUGCGCAGGCGGUUUUGUAAGACCGAUGUGAAAUCCCCGGGCUCAACCUGGGAACUGCAUCUGUGACUGCAUUGCUGGAGUGCGGCAGAGGGGGAUGGAAUUCCGCGUGUAGCAGUGAAAUGCGUAGAUAUGCGGAGG
RNAcentral lists this ribosomal RNA (700 nucleotides) under uncultured bacterium. RNAcentral's name for it is "bacterial SSU rRNA". It matches the Rfam family "Bacterial small subunit ribosomal RNA", at positions 8 to 704 of the family's 1533-position model. The record is from RNAcentral.